Molecule: ribosomal RNA, 539 nt
Filed under: Trigonopterus asterix
Lineage: Eukaryota; Metazoa; Arthropoda; Insecta; Coleoptera; Curculionidae
Description: partial large subunit ribosomal RNA
Rfam family: Bacterial large subunit ribosomal RNA
Source: RNAcentral
GAAUAUGAUUUUAGGUCUAACCUGCCCGCUGAUUUAUUGAAUGGCCGCGGUAUAUUAACCGUGCAAAGGUAGCAUAGUCAUUAGUUUCUUAAAUGGAAGCUUGUAUGAAUGGUUUGAUGAGAAAGUAGCUGUCUCUGAUUAAGUUUAUUAAAAUUUUAUUUUUAAGCGAAAAAGCUUAGAUUUUUAUUGAAGACGAGAAGACCCUAUAGAGUUUUAUAAAAUUUAGGCUAUUUAAGUUUAAGGUAUAUAGGUUUGAGUUGUUAUUAUUUAUUUUAUUUUGUUGGGGUGACGGAAAAAUUGAUAUAACUUUUUCUUUAUUUGAAUAUUAAUAUGUAGGUGUGUGAUCCUGUGAUGGAGAUUAAAAGAAUAAAUUACCUUAGGGAUAACAGCGUAAUUUUUUUUAGAGUUCUUAUCGAAAGAAAAGAUUGCGACCUCGAUGUUGGAUUAAAAUUUAAUGUUGGUGUAGAAGCUGGUAUAUUUAGGUCUGUUCGACCUUUGAAAUUUUACAUGAUCUGAGUUUAAACCGGCGUGAGCCAGGU